CCUACGAGAGGCAGCAGUGAGGAAUAUUGGUCAAUGGGCGCGAGCCUGAACCAGCCAAGUAGCGUGAAGGAUGACUGCCCUACGGGUUGUAAACUUCUUUUAUAAAGGAAUAAAGUGAGGCACGUGUGCCUUUUUGUAUGUACUUUAUGAAUAAGGAGCGGCUAACUCCGUGCCAGCAGCCGCGGUAAUACGGAGGAGCCGAGCGUUAUCCGGAUUUAUUGGGUUUAAAGGGCGCGUAGAUGGGUUGUUAAGUCAGUUGUGAAAGUUUGCGGCUCAACCGUAAAAUUGCAAUUGAUACUGGCAGUCUUGAGUACAGUUGAGGUAGGCGGAAUUCGUGGUGUAGCGGUGAAAUGCUUAGAUAUCACGAAGAACUCCGAUUGCGAAGGCAGCUUACUAAACUGCCACUGACAUUGAUGCUCGAAAGUGUGGGUAUCAAACAGGAUUAGAUACCCUAGUUGUC
RNAcentral lists this ribosomal RNA (460 nucleotides) under uncultured bacterium. RNAcentral describes it as "partial 16S ribosomal RNA". It matches the Rfam family "Bacterial small subunit ribosomal RNA", at positions 338 to 795 of the family's 1533-position model. The record is from RNAcentral.